AUGUCAGCACAGGCGGCUCUGCUCCCCUCUGCAAACGCUGUGCAGAGGCUGGGCGUGCAGCUGGGCUGCCUGCCAGCUCGGGGAAUGGUUCUGCUCACGGAGACGGGGCCAGACCCCUGGAUAAACUCCCCUGCUUCUCUCCAUAAAGGUUUUGAAGUAGGGAGCUGCUCCAAGUGGCAGCCAUCUGGAGGAGAAUGCUGCUGCAGCUGCAGUCCUGGUAUUGUGUGCAGGAGCAGGGAGGCUGCCAGCAUUGAGCUCCUUUCUAGGACAAAAACCAUGGUUUCAGGUGUGGAUGCAGCAUGUGCCCCUCUCCUCCUGCUCGCAGCGCUCCCAGAGCAUGGGCAGCCGACCUCACCCCCACGGGGCUGCCUGGGCACCUCCAGCUCAGCCCCGUUCAGUUUGUCUGCUCCUGGCCACUUACGAGAAGCGAUUUAACCCCCAAAUAGUAAUGAUGGAAAAUCAGAUCCUACUUGAGGAUCUAAAGGUAGGCGGGUGGGACUUCACAGCAUGACAGCAGGGCAAGG
This 524-nucleotide long non-coding RNA is filed under the name Anas platyrhynchos platyrhynchos (common mallard). Its description in RNAcentral is "lncRNA (ENSAPLG00000020457.1)". The record is from RNAcentral. Lineage: Eukaryota; Metazoa; Chordata; Aves; Anseriformes; Anatidae.